GGUACUUAGAGGAUGAGUUGGUUUCAAUUAAUACAGAAAACUUUAAGAUUCUUGAUUGGUGGAAAGUGGCUGGGACAAGCUUUCCUACAUUGAGGAAGGUAGCACGAGAUAUAUUUGCUAUUCCUGUUAGCACUGUUGCAUCUGAAUCUGCAUUUAGCACAAGUGGAAGGGUUCUUAGUGAGCAUCGUAGCCGGCUUACUCCAGAACUCUUGGAGGCCUUAAUGUGCUCACAAGAUUGGCUGCGAAACAAGUAUCGAGCUGAUAAUGAAGAAGCAGCAAGCUUUUGGAGUUGCCUUCAAGAUAUCCAAGAUCGGAUUGAGGUAUUCUUUCAACAACUUGAAAUUAGCAAUCAAACUCCUAUUGCCAUUAUUUGUUAUAUCCUUAUAAAAUACUUGACUAAUUGAAUAUCUUUUGCUACUUCUUUAAUUUAGGGACUUGCUCUUGUUUGAAGACAUGAAUGUAUGGACAUGCACUGUUCUUGCAAUGAUUUUGGAUGUUUGUAACCCCUGUUAUGUGUCAUGAUAAACUUGUAAACCAUGGCAAUGCUUUUGGAUAUUUGGCACAAAAGACCUACUCCGAACUAUGGUUUUACGUAUGCAUGGACAACAUGUGUUGUUGCUGCAAUGUGGUGAUAACUAAUGAGUGAUGACUGAUGAAUGAUGAAUGAUCAUGUAUUAUUGUGUUGUUGCUUAAUCUGGGAAUAUGAUGGAUAUUGUAUUCUUGGGCACACUUUUGUUGCACUGCUUGUUGCUGCACUGCUGUUGUAAGUGAUGAAUUGAUGAUGUGCAUUUGUGAACUGAUGAUGUGCAUUUGCGAA
Oryza sativa Japonica Group (Japanese rice) is the source of this 817-nucleotide non-coding RNA. Lineage: Eukaryota; Viridiplantae; Streptophyta; Magnoliopsida; Poales; Poaceae. The record is from RefSeq and is a predicted model, not a curated record.